This 301-nucleotide ribosomal RNA is filed under the name uncultured bacterium. RNAcentral describes it as "partial 16S ribosomal RNA". It matches the Rfam family "Bacterial small subunit ribosomal RNA", at positions 509 to 807 of the family's 1533-position model. The record is from RNAcentral.
CAGCAGCCACGGUAAUACGUAGGUGGCAAGCGUUGUCCGGAAUUAUUGGGCGUAAAGGGCUCGCAGGCGGUUUCUUAAGUCUGAUGUGAAAGCCCCCGGCUCAACCGGGGAGGGUCAUUGGAAACUGGGAAACUUGAGUGCAGAAGAGGAGAGUGGAAUUCCACAUGUAGCGGUGAAAUGCGUAGAGAUGUGGAGGAACAUCAGUGGCGAAGGCGACUCUCUGGUCUGUAACUGACGCUGAGGAGCGAAAGCGUGGGGAGCGAACAGGAUUAGAUACCCCAGUAGUCCCUGUCUCUUAUAC